AAUAAUGCUACCUAUCAGAUUAUGCUACCAACACUGUAUUUAUCCUUCUGUAAGGGUAGGUUUAGGGUUGGGGUAGGUGUACGUGUUAAUAAAGCCUCACACCUUAUUAAUAUCAUGCUGGAAGCAAAAUCUGAUAGGUAGCACUUUUUGCUAUCGAAUUAUGCUACCAAACUCCACCAUAACGAAUGCUUAACCAACCCCACAACUAGACCUAUCCUUAACACGGUCUCCACCCCACCCUCCGGUCUGAGGCCGCUGCUGUGCUGACUGACAGUACGGCUAUUCGCCACACAAGAGAACAACAACGCGUCAAUCACACAUCUGCAAGCUUACCUCAGCACACGGACAUUCUCCAUCACCCAGUCUUUGGAGGGGUCAGUGCAAAUGUUCCUGCCUCUUAUUGUGUGGAAUCUGUGAGACUCGUCCUGACGUCAUCUGCGCUGCUGCUGUUGCUGUGUGUCUGGGUCAGCCUGAGUCAAAGCAGUCCGGUAAGGUGCUGUACCAAGUAUUCAUCACAGCCUUUCCCUGUCCUCCGACUGAAAGACUUCACCCGACA
Molecule: RNA transcript, 556 nt
Organism: Onychostoma macrolepis
Lineage: Eukaryota; Metazoa; Chordata; Actinopteri; Cypriniformes; Cyprinidae
Gene: ccl20a.4
Gene name: chemokine (C-C motif) ligand 20a, duplicate 4
Exons: 4
Source: RefSeq, a predicted model, not a curated record